Molecule: unclassified non-coding RNA, 229 nt
Filed under: plant metagenome
Description: partial contains small subunit ribosomal RNA, internal transcribed spacer 1, and 5.8S ribosomal RNA
Source: RNAcentral
UCUCCGUAGGUGAACCUGCGGAGGGAUCAUUACAGAGUUCAUGCCCUACCGGGUAGAUCUCCCACCCUAUGUUAUUAUUACUUUGUUGCUUUGGCGGGCCGUUAGGCUCCGGCCCGACUACCGGCCCCGGCUGGUAAGCGCCCGCCAGAGGACCCAAAGCCCUGAAUAUUAGUGUCGUCUGAGUACUAUAUAAUAGUUAAAACUUUCAACAACGGAUCUCUUGGUUCUG